RNAcentral lists this unclassified non-coding RNA (289 nucleotides) under uncultured fungus. Its description in RNAcentral is "partial contains 18S rRNA, ITS1, 5.8S rRNA, ITS2 and 28S rRNA". The stretch from base 180 to 245 matches the Rfam family "5.8S ribosomal RNA". The record is from RNAcentral. Lineage: Eukaryota; Fungi.
AGGGAUCAUUACCGAGUUCAUGCCCUCACGGGUAGAUCUCCCACCCUAUGUUAUAUUACCUUUGUUGCUUUGGCGGGCCGUCAGGCUUCGGUCAGGCUACCGGCCCCGGCUGGUAAGCGCCCGCCAGAGAACCCUAAACUCUGAAUGUUAGUGUCGUCUGAGUACUAUCUAAUAGUUAAAACUUUCAACAACGGAUCUCUUGGUUCUGGCAUCGAUGAAGAACCCGACGAUACUUCUGAGUGUUCUAAGCGAACUGUUAAAACUUUCAACAACGGAUCUCUUGGCUCCA